Molecule: non-coding RNA, 154 nt
Organism: Pelobates cultripes (western spadefoot toad)
Lineage: Eukaryota; Metazoa; Chordata; Amphibia; Anura; Pelobatidae
Source: the annotation of a GenBank genome assembly
GCAGACACAUUCCAGCCAAUCAGCAGCAGACCCUCCCUCCCAGACCCUCCCACCUGGACAGCAUCCAUUUUGAAGCUGCAUUCUUAGUGAGCUGUCCAGGAGGUGGGAGGGUCUGGGAGGGAGGGUCUGCUGCUGAUUGGCUGGAAUGUGUCUG